RNAcentral lists this ribosomal RNA (326 nucleotides) under uncultured Lactobacillus sp. Its description in RNAcentral is "bacterial SSU rRNA". It matches the Rfam family "Bacterial small subunit ribosomal RNA", at positions 213 to 525 of the family's 1533-position model. The record is from RNAcentral. Lineage: Bacteria; Bacillati; Bacillota; Bacilli; Lactobacillales; Lactobacillaceae.
UAUCACUCUUGGAUGGACCUGCGGUGCAUUAGCUAGUUGGUAGGGUAACGGCCUACCAAGGGCGAUGAUGCAUAGCCCGAGUUGAGAGACUGAUCGGCCACAUUGGGGACUGAGACACGGCCCAAACUCCUACGGGAGGCAGCAGUAGGGAAUCUUCCACAAUGGACGCAAGUCUGAUGGAGCAAACGCCGCGUGAGUGAAGAAGGGUUUCGGCUCGUAAAGCUCUGUUGUUGGUGAAGAAGGACAGGGGUAGUAACUGACCCUUUGUUUGACAGUAAUCAAUUAGAAAGUCACGGGCUAACUACGUGCCAGCAGCCGCGGUAAAU